This 200-nucleotide non-coding RNA is filed under the name Clostridium saccharobutylicum. RNAcentral's name for it is "T-box sequence". It matches the Rfam family "T-box leader". Rfam says of the family: Uncharged tRNA acts as the effector for transcription antitermination of genes in the T-box leader family. Lineage: Bacteria; Bacillati; Bacillota; Clostridia; Eubacteriales; Clostridiaceae. The record is from RNAcentral.
UAAAAACCUGUGAUGAGAAUAGUAAUAAUAUUAUGAUUUUUAGAGAGUCAGUGGUUAGGUGUAAACUGAUAAUUGUAGAUUAUGAAUCCACCUCUGAGGGACUGCGAUGAGUAGUACGGUAUAUAUCGUUAAAUAGUUAAGUGGAUAGUAUUUUUAAUACUAUCAAUUAGGGUGGCAACGCGGAGUUCUUCGUCCCUUGU